RNAcentral lists this unclassified non-coding RNA (264 nucleotides) under Hevea brasiliensis (rubber tree). Lineage: Eukaryota; Viridiplantae; Streptophyta; Magnoliopsida; Malpighiales; Euphorbiaceae. The record is from RNAcentral.
CAAUUUAUCUCUAAGUUGCUGCAUUUCCCCCUGAAAAAAUCUUCUUUCUUCAAGCCAUUGCUUUACUGGCAUAACUUUAUCGUUUCCAUCUUUCCACUCAUUUGCAACUACAGUAGCAACUCUGUUUGCACUAACCUUUGCACGAGCUACUUCACGUUCCAAUGCUUUUUUCUCCUCAUUCAUUUCUUGCACUUUUCUCUGGUAAUCACGCACAGCAUUAGCAGCAGCGCCUCCAGAUAAGACAGCCUCCUCAAGCUCACGAAC